GGUGUGGACACCCAACACUGUGAACACAAUAACUCAUGAAUGAGGCAACACAGGAUUUUCAAAUUGAUAUCAAAGGUGUAUUUAUCUGGAGGCUGAGGACAAAAACUGUGAGCCACCGGCAAUUUUUACACACCAAGGAAAAGUGUUAGAAUUAAGAUGUUACUGACAAUCAUGACUAAUAAUGUCUUUAUUUGCAGAAAAAUCAGCCUCUGCAGCAGCUGAAUAUGUCAUUUAUUCUGAAGUCAAGUCACAACCAGCUCUUGAUUACAGCCUGUUGUAUGCAGAGGUCUCCCACAACAGAGCUAAAGUCAAGAUACUUUAAGGGAAAUCAGCCCCUGCAGCAGCUGAUGAAGCAGUUUAUUCUGAAGUCAAAUCAAAACGAGUUGUUAGUAAUACAGAAAUAAAAUAGCUUACAUACUGUGAUUUGUUGUUGUAAUGAUUAACUCAGAGUGAACUGAGUCCCAAAUCACCUUUAAACACUGAAUAAUUCUGCAUUGAUUUGAAUUUAACAGCACUGGAAGAAAGUAGAGGAACAACAAAAGAAGAUUACGAUUAACUUUUUUAUGAAAAGUUUUCUUUCAUUUUAAAAAAGCUGCAGCAGCAAGUGAUAGUGUGGCGUUAGGAUCAGGAUCUUUCCACUUUCACAUACGCAUUUAUUGAACUGCAUAUAUUGUUACAUAUAUAUUUACAGAUGUGUCCUUUGUCUUUGCAAAUCAUUAUUUUUGUUCCUCUGGAUGGAUUAAGA
This is a long non-coding RNA of Oreochromis aureus, 745 nucleotides long. NCBI's taxonomy places the organism in Eukaryota, Metazoa, Chordata, Actinopteri, Cichliformes, Cichlidae. The record is from Ensembl.